This 278-nucleotide ribosomal RNA is filed under the name uncultured bacterium. RNAcentral describes it as "partial 16S ribosomal RNA". It matches the Rfam family "Bacterial small subunit ribosomal RNA", at positions 29 to 334 of the family's 1533-position model. The record is from RNAcentral.
AACGAACGCUGGCGGCAUGCCUAACACAUGCAAGUCGAACGAGACCUUCGGGUCUAGUGGCGCACGGGUGCGUAACGCGUGGGAAUCUGCCCUUGGGUACGGAAUAACUCAGAGAAAUUUGAGCUAAUACCGUAUAAUGACUUCGGUCCAAAGAUUUAUCGCCCAAGGAUGAGCCCGCGUAAGAUUAGCUAGUUGGUGGGGUAAAGGCCUACCAAGGCGACGAUCUUUAGCUGGUCUGAGAGGAUGAUCAGCCACACUGGGACUGAGACACGGCCCAG